GGGAGGGUACUCAGUGGUAGAGCACAUGCUUAGCAUGCAUGAGGUCCUGGGUUUGAUCCCAAGCACUACCA
Molecule: transfer RNA, 71 nt
Filed under: Camelus bactrianus (Bactrian camel)
Lineage: Eukaryota; Metazoa; Chordata; Mammalia; Artiodactyla; Camelidae
Also listed under: 2 other names
Rfam family: tRNA
About the family: Transfer RNA (tRNA) molecules are approximately 80 nucleotides in length. Their secondary structure includes four short double-helical elements and three loops (D, anti-codon, and T loops).
Source: Rfam by way of RNAcentral